RNAcentral lists this small RNA (35 nucleotides) under Arabidopsis thaliana (thale cress). Its description in RNAcentral is "ATSL122310". The record is from RNAcentral. Lineage: Eukaryota; Viridiplantae; Streptophyta; Magnoliopsida; Brassicales; Brassicaceae.
CUUCUUCUUCUUCUUCCUCUUCCUCCUCCUCUUCU